This 274-nucleotide ribosomal RNA is filed under the name uncultured bacterium. RNAcentral's name for it is "partial 16S ribosomal RNA". It matches the Rfam family "Bacterial small subunit ribosomal RNA", at positions 523 to 796 of the family's 1533-position model. The record is from RNAcentral.
AUACGAAGGGGACAAGCGUUGUUCGGAAUAACUGGGCGUAAAGCGCACGUAGGCGGAAUGUUAAGUUAGAGGUGAAAUCCCAGGGCUCAACCCUGGAACGGCCUUUAAUACUGGCAAUCUAGAGACCGAGAGAGGUGAGUGGAAUUCCGAGUGUAGAGGUGAAAUUCGUAGAUAUUCGGAGGAACACCAGUGGCGAAGGCGGCUCACUGGCUCGGUACUGACGCUGAGGUGCGAAAGCGUGGGGAGCAAACAGGAUUAGAAACCCUAGUAGUCC